CGGGGCUUCUUCUUCAAACUCCUUCCACAGACAUGUUCUACAAAACCAAGUCUGGGGUGCAGUUUUCCAGUCCCAGAUUUCCUAGGCUUAGGUCCUUAAAACUACUUUGUGGGGCAGCUCAAUGGCUCCAAUUGGAGAUUGGGAUUGAGAGCCAGGUCCAGAGAAGCCUCAGACAUUUCCUAGCUGAUAAAUCUAGGUAGUUUGGGAAUGAGAAUGCUCUCAAUUCAGUCAUUUCCAGUCCCAUCCAACUCUUCACAAUCCCUUUUUGUGACUCUUCUGUUCAUGGCAAAGAUACUGGAGUGGUUUGCGAUUUUCUUCAGUUAAUUUUACAGAUGAGGAAACUGAGGCAAACGGUUAAAUGUCUUGCCCAGGGACACCCAGCUGAAGCUAGGUCGCUGUGGCAACAACUCCAUCAAAUUCUUCCAUCCAUUCCUUUCCAGUUGGCGCCCCAUUUUGUUUUCUCACCUCCCUUGACAGAAUUACUACACCAGAAGCAUGGGAGCAAGACCUGACUGCAGAAAUAUUGGCAGAGUGGGGAAGGAGGGACAAAUGACCCUUAGGUUCAUUCAGAUCCCUCUGCCUCCCUAUGUUGGCUUUCCUGUGCCUAUCAUUCUCUAGAAUUAUUUUUUCAAGACCAUAUGUUUCCAACCUUCACUAACACAGAAAUAGAUUUUGUUAAAGAGCAGAUUGAAAAUAUAUUCAGAUAAAUCCAAAUGUUUGCAUUAAUGGUUCGCUGUGGAGUUUCAUGAUUGGGAACAGAGCUGUAUUAAAUCAGAC
RNAcentral lists this long non-coding RNA (777 nucleotides) under Monodelphis domestica (gray short-tailed opossum). Its description in RNAcentral is "lncRNA (ENSMODG00000035985.2)". The record is from RNAcentral. Lineage: Eukaryota; Metazoa; Chordata; Mammalia; Didelphimorphia; Didelphidae.